AAAUUGAAGAGUUUGAUCAUGGCUCAGAUUGAACGCUGGCGGCAGGCCUAACACAUGCAAGUCGAACGGUAACAGGAAGCAGCUUGCUGCUUCGCUGACGAGUGGCGGACGGGUGAGUAAUGUCUGGGAAACUGCCUGAUGGAGGGGGAUAACUACUGGAAACGGUAGCUAAUACCGCAUAAUGUCGCAAGACCAAAGAGGGGGACCUUCGGGCCUCUUGCCAUCGGAUGUGCCCAGAUGGGAUUAGCUUGUUGGUGGGGUAACGGCUCACCAAGGCGACGAUCCCUAGCUGGUCUGAGAGGAUGACCAGCCACACUGGAACUGAGACACGGUCCAGACUCCUACGGGAGGCAGCAGUGGGGAAUAUUGCACAAUGGGCGCAAGCCUGAUGCAGCCAUGC
RNAcentral lists this ribosomal RNA (400 nucleotides) under Escherichia coli. Its description in RNAcentral is "bacterial SSU rRNA". It matches the Rfam family "Bacterial small subunit ribosomal RNA", at positions 1 to 397 of the family's 1533-position model. Lineage: Bacteria; Pseudomonadati; Pseudomonadota; Gammaproteobacteria; Enterobacterales; Enterobacteriaceae. The record is from RNAcentral.